UAGGGAAUAUUGGUUAAUGUGCGAAAGCGCGAACCAGCAACGCCGCGUGUGCGAUGAAGGCCUUCGGGUCGUAAAGCACUUUUUGCAGGGAAGAGGAAGAACGGUACCUGCAGAAUAAGUCUCGGCUAACUACGUGCCAGCAGCCGCGGUAAAACGUAGGAGACGAGCGUUAUCCGGAUUUACUGUGCGUAAAGCGCGUGCAGGCGGCAUGGCAAGUUGGAUGUGAAAGCUCCCGUCUUAACUGGGAGAGGUCGUUCAAUACUGCCAGGCUUGAGAGUGGUAGAGGGAAGCGGAAUUCCGGGUGUAGUGGUGAAAUGCGUAGAUAUCCGGAGGAACACCAGUGGCGAAAGCGGCUUCCUGGCCCAUUUCUGACGCUCAGACGCGAAAGCUAGGGUAG
This 397-nucleotide ribosomal RNA is filed under the name uncultured bacterium. Its description in RNAcentral is "bacterial SSU rRNA". It matches the Rfam family "Bacterial small subunit ribosomal RNA", at positions 355 to 768 of the family's 1533-position model. The record is from RNAcentral.